This 460-nucleotide ribosomal RNA is filed under the name uncultured bacterium. RNAcentral describes it as "partial 16S ribosomal RNA". It matches the Rfam family "Bacterial small subunit ribosomal RNA", at positions 338 to 795 of the family's 1533-position model. The record is from RNAcentral.
CCUACGGGUGGCAGCAGUGAGGAAUAUUGGUCAAUGGGCGUAAGCCUGAACCAGCCAAGCCGCGUGAGGGAUGAAGGUUCUAUGGGUCGUAAACCUCUUUUAUAAGGGGAUAAAGUGAGGGACGUGUCCCGUUUUGUAAGUACCUUAUGAAUAAGGAUCGGCUAACUCCGUGCCAGCAGCCGCGGUAAUACGGAGGAUCCGAGCGUUAUCCGGAUUUAUUGGGUUUAAAGGGUGCGUAGGCGGCCUUUUAAGUCAGCGGUGAAAGUCUGUGGCUCAACCAUGGAAUUGCCGUUGAUACUGGGAGGCUAGAGAAUGUUUGCGGCAGGCGGAAUGUGUGGUGUAGCGGUGAAAUGCUUAGAGAUCACGCAGAACCCCGAUUGCGAAGGCAGCCUACCAAGCCAUGACUGACGCUGAUGCACGAAAGCGUGUGGAUCAAACAGGAUUAGAUACCCCAGUAGUC